RNAcentral lists this ribosomal RNA (1013 nucleotides) under Lentithecium clioninum. RNAcentral describes it as "SSU rRNA". It matches the Rfam family "Eukaryotic small subunit ribosomal RNA", at positions 85 to 1107 of the family's 1831-position model. Lineage: Eukaryota; Fungi; Ascomycota; Dothideomycetes; Pleosporales; Lentitheciaceae. The record is from RNAcentral.
AACUGCGAAUGGCUCAUUAAAUCAGUUAUCGUUUAUUUGAUAGUACCUUACUACUUGGAUAACCGUGGUAAUUCUAGAGCUAAUACAUGCUGAAAACCCCGACUUCGGAAGGGGUGUAUUUAUUAGAUAAAAAACCAAUGCCCUUCGGGGCUCCUUGGUGAUUCAUAAUAACUUCUCAGAUCGCAUGGCCUUGCGCCGGCGACGGUUCAUUCAAAUUUCUGCCCUAUCAACUUUCGAUGGUAAGGUAUUGGCUUACCAUGGUUUCAACGGGUAACGGGGAAUUAGGGUUCGAUUCCGGAGAGGGAGCCUGAGAAACGGCUACCACAUCCAAGGAAGGCAGCAGGCGCGCAAAUUACCCAAUCCCGACACGGGGAGGUAGUGACAAUAAAUACUGAUACAGGGCUCUUUUGGGUCUUGUAAUUGGAAUGAGUACAAUUUAAACCUCUUAACGAGGAACAAUUGGAGGGCAAGUCUGGUGCCAGCAGCCGCGGUAAUUCCAGCUCCAAUAGCGUAUAUUAAAGUUGUUGCAGUUAAAAAGCUCGUAGUUGAACCUUUGGCCUGGCUGGCAGGUCCGCCUCACCGCGUGCACUUGUCCGGCCGGGCCUUCUCUUCUGGAGAACCGCAUGCCCUUCACUGGGUGUGUUGGGGACCAGGACUUUUACUUUGAAAAAAUUAGAGUGUUCAAAGCAGGCCUUUGCUCGAAUACGUUAGCAUGGAAUAAUAGAAUAGGACGUGCGGUCCUAUUUUGUUGGUUUCUAGGACCGCCGUAAUGAUUAAUAGGGACAGUCGGGGGCAUCAGUAUUCAAUUGUCAGAGGUGAAAUUCUUGGAUUUAUUGAAGACUAACUACUGCGAAAGCAUUUGCCAAGGAUGUUUUCAUUAAUCAGUGAACGAAAGUUAGGGGAUCGAAGACGAUCAGAUACCGUCGUAGUCUUAACCAUAAACUAUGCCGACUAGGGAUCGGGCGGUGUUAUUAUUUUGACUCGCUCGGCACCUUACGAGAAAUCAAAGUGUU